CCUACGGGGGGCUACAGUGAGGAAUAUUGGUCAAUGGGCGUAAGCCUGAACCAGCCAAGUCGCGUGAGGGAUGAAGGUUCUAUGGAUCGUAAACCUCUUUUAUAAGGGAGUAAAGGGUGGGACGUGUCCUAUUUUGUAUGUACCUUAUGAAUAAGGAUCGGCUAACUCCGUGCCAGCAGCCGCGGUAAUACGGAGGAUCCGAGCGGUAUCCGGAUUUAUUGGGUUUAAAGGGUGCGUAGGCGGCCUUUUAAGUUAGCGGUGAAAGUCUGUGGCUCAACCAUAGAAUGGCCGUUGAAACUGGGGGGCUUGAGUAUGUUUGAGGCAGGCGGAAUGCGUGGUGUAGCGGUGAAAUGCUUAGAUAUCACGCAGAACCCCGAUUGCGAAGGCAGCCUGCCAAGCCAUGACUGACGCUGAUGCACGAAAGCGUGGGGAUCAAACAGGAUUAGAUACCCUGGUAGUC
This 460-nucleotide ribosomal RNA is filed under the name uncultured bacterium. RNAcentral describes it as "partial 16S ribosomal RNA". It matches the Rfam family "Bacterial small subunit ribosomal RNA", at positions 338 to 795 of the family's 1533-position model. The record is from RNAcentral.